Molecule: ribosomal RNA, 380 nt
Filed under: uncultured cyanobacterium
Lineage: Bacteria; Bacillati; Cyanobacteriota
Description: bacterial SSU rRNA
Rfam family: Bacterial small subunit ribosomal RNA
Source: RNAcentral
CGAAAGCCUGACGGAGCAAUACCGCGUGAGGGAGGAAGGUUUUUGGAUUGUAAACCUCUUUUUUAAAGGAAGAAGAAAGUGACGGUACUUUAAGAAUAAGCAUCGGCUAACUCCGUGCCAGCAGCCGCGGUAAUACGGAGGAUGCAAGCGUUAUCCGGAAUCAUUGGGCGUAAAGAGUCCGUAGGUGGCUAAUCAAGUCCGAAGUUAAAGACAGAAGCUAAACUUCUGGAAAGCAGCGGAAACUGAAGAGCUAGAGUGUAGGAGAGGUAGAGGGAAUUCCCAGUGUAGCGGUGAAAUGCGUAGAGAUUGGGAAGAACACCAGUGGCGAAGGCGCUCUACUGGACUAAAACUGACACUGAGGGACGAAAGCUAGGGUAGCG